This is a non-coding RNA of Bos taurus (domestic cattle), 73 nucleotides long. Lineage: Eukaryota; Metazoa; Chordata; Mammalia; Artiodactyla; Bovidae. The record is from Rfam.
UCCCUGGCGGUCCAGUGGUCAGGACUCGGCGCUUUCACUGCCGCGGGCCCAGGUUCGAUCCCUGGUCAGGAAC